UAGGAUAAUAAUAGGAUGAUA
Molecule: non-coding RNA, 21 nt
Filed under: Caenorhabditis elegans
Lineage: Eukaryota; Metazoa; Nematoda; Chromadorea; Rhabditida; Rhabditidae
Source: RNAcentral